This 69-nucleotide transfer RNA is filed under the name Spalacopus cyanus (coruro). RNAcentral's name for it is "tRNA-Phe". It matches the Rfam family "tRNA". From Rfam's summary of the family: Transfer RNA (tRNA) molecules are approximately 80 nucleotides in length. Their secondary structure includes four short double-helical elements and three loops (D, anti-codon, and T loops). Further hydrogen bonds mediate the characteristic L-shaped molecular structure. tRNAs have two regions of fundamental functional importance: the anti-codon, which is responsible for specific mRNA codon recognition, and the 3' end, to which the tRNAs corresponding amino acid is attached (by aminoacyl-tRNA synthetases). tRNAs cope with the degeneracy of the genetic code in two manners: having more than one tRNA (with a specific anti-codon) for a particular amino acid; and 'wobble' base-pairing, i.e. permitting non-standard base-pairing at the 3rd anti-codon position. Lineage: Eukaryota; Metazoa; Chordata; Mammalia; Rodentia; Octodontidae. The record is from RNAcentral.
GUUAAUGUAGCUUAUCCUUCAAAGCAAGGCACUGAAAAUGCCUAGAUGAGUAAUUUUACUCCAUAGACA